AGUCACACAAGGCUAGUGGCUACUGUGUCGGUGGUAAUGCUCUAGAGAGAAAUAGCGUAUGCGCCUGUGGCACUGGAAAGAGGUUCUUUCAUUUUCUUAUGGGUACAACUUCAUCCCCUGGAAAUUCUCUGCAAAUUGUGUGGCUGCUUGGCAACUUGGAGAAGUCCCUCUCCAAGGCCACCUUUGGCUUUGAGCUUUGACCUGGUGACAUUGCUGAGGUAGAGGAAAGGUGAGAAAUAUUCCUCUGAAGCAGAGAACACCCUCCCCGUCAGCCUUUGCCACUCGGCAUGGGAGGCCUGAGGCGAUGAGCAGGCAAGGCGCUGGGUCCUCAGUGCAGGGCCUCCCCCGUGCUCAUUGGCUGCCUUCCCACUGCUGACUCUGUCCCUCUGGACUGUCUCUUGCAGAAAUUCCUGCUGCUCAUGGCCAGCACCUCGGCCUGCUACAAGCUCUUCCGAGAGAAGCAGAAGGACGGCCAUGGAGAGGCCAUCAUGUUCAAAGGCUUGGGUGGGAUGAGCAGCAAGCGAAUCACCAUCAACAAGAUUCUGUCCAAUGAGAGCCUCGUGCAGGAGAACCUGUACUUCCAGCGCUGCCUGGACUGGAACCGUGACAUCCUCAAGAAGGAGCUGGGACUGACAGAGCAGGACAUCAUUGACCUGCCCGCUCUGUUCAAGAUGGACGAGGACCACCGCGCCAGAGCCUUCUUCCCAAACAUGGUGAACAUGAUCGUGCUGGACAAGGACCUGGGCAUCCCCAAGCCGUUCGGGCCACAGGUUGAGGAGGAAUGCUGCCUGGAGAUGCACGUGCGCGGCCUCCUGGAGCCCCUGGGCCUCGAAUGCACCUUCAUCGAUGACAUUUCUGCCUACCACAAAUUUCUGGGGGAAGUCCACUGUGGCACCAACGUCCGCAGGAAGCCCUUCACCUUCAAAUGGUGGCACAUGGUGCCCUGACCUGCCAGGGGCCCUGGUGUUUGCCUCCUUCCCUUAGUUCUCCAGACCCUCCCUCACACGCCCAGAGCCUUCUGCUGACAUGGACUGGACAGCCCCGCUGGGAGACCUUUGGGACGUGGGGUGGAAUUUGGGAUAUCUGUGCCUUGCCCUCCCUGAGAGGGGCCUCAGUGUCCUCUGAAGCCAUCCCCAGUGAGCCUCGACUCUGUCCCUGCUGAAAAUAGCUGGGCCAGUGUCUCUAUAGCCCUGACAUAAGGAACAGAACACAACAAAACACAGCAAACCAUGUGCCCAGACUGCUCCCCAAAGAAUUUUGAGUCUCUAAUCUGACACUGAAUGAGGGGAGAAGGGAAGGAGAUUCUGGGAUCGCCAGUUCUUCCAGCAGCCAUGCUCUGAAAAUCAAGGUAGAAUCCAUGGAAAGGGACCCCAGGACCCCGGGACCCUAGACGUAUCUUGAACUGCCAUCGUCAUUUCAAAUACAUCUCCCUCAGGGUUUCCAGGUGGUCACCCCCAAUUAUUCAUUCCUUACCAACCUCUCAAGUCCUCUUGGCUUUCUCUCUGCAGUGUGGACACUGUUGGCUAGUCCUCUCCACUCCCUGAGGGUCCAGUAAGUUAGCUUAGAACCUUCCUGGAAACAUUUCAUCUGAGCAGGUUUCCCCACAUGUAGGAUUCUCCUUUUGCCUCAUCUGUCUCAGGGAUGCAGGCUCCCCCACAUGCAUGAGGAUUUCUCCCCAGACCAGCAUACUUGUGACCUGAGAGUUCAAUGUGUAAAGAUGCCCCUGGUCAGCCAUAUCCAUCUUCUCUUGCCUGGUCCUUGAUUCUCUGGCCGCUCCCUGACCUUCCUCCUCCCACUGCCUUCACUUUCUUCCUUUUUAUUCCUGGUGCCAUCUGUCCAGGCAGCUAGACAAGAACUUGUUCACCAGCAGCCAGAUUCAGGCCUUCCCCGGGGCAUAAUAAGUGACCAGCCCCUCCUCUCCGGACAUCAGAUCCAACACAUCAGGACCCUGGCCUGCCCUCCAGCCCAACAGCCAGUUCUGGGUCAGCUGCCAACUUGGGGGUGGUUUGAUUAUCCCAUUGAAAUUCACCAGUGCAUUUGCCAAAGACCCUCUCAUUUGGACAUACCCAGAUUCAUGCCCUGGCUCCAACUGAAAAGACUCAGUUUCCAUCUUUAAAAGUUCCUUCAGGGCCAGAAGAAUAAAUGAAUUAUAACCCCAUUUUGAAGAGCCAAUUUAUAACCAAUGAAAAGGUUAUAAUGUAAUUUAUAUUCUUGGAGGAACAAGAUUUUCAUUUGGGAUUAUUUCCUUCAACCAUUCAACAAACAUUUGUUGUAUGCCACCAAGCGCCAGGCACGGCGCUGGGCUCUGCAAACACAGUGGUUAGUAGCAGUCUGGACCUGGUCCCUACUGGCAUGGAACCCAUCACUCCCCAACAUGCAAAGCCCACAUUU
RNAcentral lists this small RNA (2391 nucleotides) under Pongo abelii (Sumatran orangutan). RNAcentral describes it as "processed transcript". The record is from RNAcentral. Lineage: Eukaryota; Metazoa; Chordata; Mammalia; Primates; Hominidae.